This 457-nucleotide ribosomal RNA is filed under the name Pichia kudriavzevii. RNAcentral describes it as "eukaryotic LSU rRNA". The stretch from base 96 to 248 matches the Rfam family "5.8S ribosomal RNA". The record is from RNAcentral. Lineage: Eukaryota; Fungi; Ascomycota; Pichiomycetes; Pichiales; Pichiaceae.
GAUACACUACCUGCGUGAGCGGAACGAAAACAACAACACCUAAAAUGUGGAAUAUAGCAUAUAGUCGACAAGAGAAAUCUACGAAAAACAAACAAAACUUUCAACAACGGAUCUCUUGGUUCUCGCAUCGAUGAAGAGCGCAGCGAAAUGCGAUACCUAGUGUGAAUUGCAGCCAUCGUGAAUCAUCGAGUUCUUGAACGCACAUUGCGCCCCUCGGCAUUCCGGGGGGCAUGCCUGUUUGAGCGUCGUUUCCAUCUUGCGCGUGCGCAGAGUUGGGGGAGCGGAGCGGACGACGUGUAAAGAGCGUCGGAGCUGCGACUCGCCUGAAAGGGAGCGAAGCUGGCCGAGCGAACUAGACUUUUUUCAGGGACGCUUGGCGGCCGAGAGCGAGUGUUGCGAGACAACAAAAAGCUCGACCUCAAAUCAGGUAGGAAUACCCGCUGAACUUAAGCAUAUC